This is a long non-coding RNA of Haemorhous mexicanus (house finch), 474 nucleotides long. RefSeq lists it as uncharacterized. Lineage: Eukaryota; Metazoa; Chordata; Aves; Passeriformes; Fringillidae. The record is from RefSeq and is a predicted model, not a curated record. The transcript has 2 exons.
GAGCCCUGCCGGGCCAGCAGGCCGUGUGGCCACAGCGCCGGCAGCGCCGCUGGCAGGGAGCUGUGCCGCUGGGGCCGUGACAGGCUCUGUGUUCGCAGGGAUCGGCGGGCGGCACCUGAGGGGGCAGCAGCAAGAGCUCCAGCUGAUCUGCAGUGCCCUGGAACGCCUGACGGAGGACAUGAGCAGUAUUGUGUCAGAGCUGGCACUUGAAACCCUUCAUGUCCUCCGAGCAACAGCGAGUGGGCAAUAUUCCAUCUUCCAGAGGCUGCAAGAUCAGCUGCGCAGGGCAUGGAGGACUCGGCCUCGUCUGUCACGGCUCGGCUGGCUGCACUGCUGGAGCCCUGUACAGAGCUGAUCCGGGAGGCUCUCUUUUCUGGGGCAACCUGAGCCAGCAGGGAUUUUCUUUUUCUUUAUGAUUUUUCUUUUCCUCCCUUCCAUUUUUUAUCCAAUGUAAAUAUAGAAUGUGUUAUAGUA